Gorilla gorilla gorilla (western lowland gorilla) is the source of this 361-nucleotide long non-coding RNA. RefSeq lists it as uncharacterized. NCBI's taxonomy places the organism in Eukaryota, Metazoa, Chordata, Mammalia, Primates, Hominidae. The transcript has 5 exons. The record is from RefSeq and is a predicted model, not a curated record.
GUGUAUCCUGGAGCAGUCUUGCUGAUUGUUUAUGGACAGAGACUAUUGGAUUAGUUGGCAUAUAUGAUUACCAUCCUUCUGCCUAAAGUACCUGCUUUACAAUUGCUUUUUAUGAGACAAGUCCUUAAUUUCCAUUGAGUGAUACUUGCAGUGUUAGAGAAACUGCUUCCACCCUGGGCUACGGUAGUGGAAUAUGUAGACUACACAAAAGAUGAUCAAGAGGAGCAUGAAAAAAUCCCCUGAAUCCAUUGGCUUUCUUCCCUAUACUGACAACAGUUUACUUGUGUAAGAAGAUGGAUGUCUAUUGCUUUUCUCUUGAUAUUCAUGGCACUGCUCCUCUCCAUCCAUAGGAUUAUCUUAU